CAGUCGCCGCGGUAAAACGAGGGGGGCAAGCGUUAAUCGGAAUUACUGGGCGUAAAGCGUGCGCAGGCGGUGUUGUAAGACUGAUGUGAAAUCCCCGGGCUCAACCUGGGAACUGCAUUGGUGACUGCAACGCUGGAGUGCGGCAGAGGGGGAUGGAAUUCCGCGUGUAGCAGUGAAAUGCGUAGAUAUGCGGAGGAACACCGAUGGCGAAGGCAAUCCCCUGGGCCUGUACUGACGCUCAUGCACGAAAGCGUGGGGAGCAAACAGGAUUAGAUACCCGCGUAGUCCCUGUCUCUUAUAC
This 301-nucleotide ribosomal RNA is filed under the name uncultured bacterium. RNAcentral describes it as "partial 16S ribosomal RNA". It matches the Rfam family "Bacterial small subunit ribosomal RNA", at positions 509 to 807 of the family's 1533-position model. The record is from RNAcentral.